RNAcentral lists this non-coding RNA (206 nucleotides) under Oscillospiraceae bacterium. RNAcentral describes it as "6S RNA". It matches the Rfam family "6S / SsrS RNA". From Rfam's summary of the family: E. coli 6S RNA was the first non coding RNA to be sequenced, but its function was unknown until recently. It consists of 184 nucleotides that fold into an extended hairpin structure with a large single-stranded internal bulge. Lineage: Bacteria; Bacillati; Bacillota; Clostridia; Eubacteriales; Oscillospiraceae. The record is from RNAcentral.
UUCUCCCUGCGGAGUUCGUGAUAAGUUCUUUAUGUACCACAACAGUAAUACGGGACGCCGGAAAAACUCUUGCCGUGAAUUGCAGGCCUCCCGCUCGGCUUAAAUGUGCCGCUGCGGACGUUGGAAGCAGAGAAGCGGUGAGGAGGCGACCCACCUGCAAAUAUUGCAGGUUACUACGGAGCUUACACGGCUGUUGCGGGGGUAUU